UGGCCCAAACCCACAAUCUUUAGCUCUAAUAUGAACUUUUGGACUUGACAUUUAGGCCUAUCACAUAACAUGUAGACCUAUAACGUCUAGAUGUUCUGUUGUCUCCUCUGCAAUUCAUCGGAAACGUCAUCUCCUCUGCAGUUCAUCGGAACCGUCGUUGCUUCAUUCAUGGCUGGAGACAUUUGCUCAUCUGGAAUCCCAUGAAUAAGACGUUGUUGGCCGGCUCUUACGAUUUUGGGAUGCCCGUAAUAUUAAAAAAACGGUGAAUUCAUGGGCAUAGUCGUCCUCUUGCUCGACGAGAAGCUGUUCGUGCCAGCCAAUUCCGCAAUGUUUUACAAGAAGGGCGAAUCUUUUGUGUUGGAGGGUUUGAAGUGGGAAGGUGCACAAACCUCUACAAAAUUACUGACAACCCAUUUGUCAUCCGUUUCCUACCUUCAACAACAAUUGUUGAAGUGAAUCACGUUGGAGCUACAAUAGAAAGAGAAAAAUUUAUGCUUCGCAAAGGAGAUCAUCUCCAAGCUCUUGCAAACAUUAAUCUUGAACUACCAGGUCUACCAUUGUGUACCUAUCAUUAUGGGAUGACGCAGCUGCAACCUUUCAAGCUUAUCUCACUUCUGGAGACACGAUAAAUUCUGUCAUGUUGGUAACUACAAUAAAUCCAAAGCUGUUUGGAGGUAAUUUGUAUUUGAACUCCACUCCAGCAACCCGGUUUUAUUUCGACCUUUCCAUUGAGGCAAUCAACCAAUUUACAAAAAGGUCAUGCUUAUUACAACUAAUAAUUUCAAAGUACCAUUGAGGUUAUCAAAAUCUAACCGAGUUGUUUCUUAUGGAGGAUGGGAAUAGAAGCUACCAAGCAUUUGCAAAAGCAGACACAUCCGAAGGAAUAAAAAAAAGAAAUGCUUUGCAUUGCUGAACUUUACAAGUUCAUAUCAAACUCUAAUGAACAUGUUAUUUUUACUAUGAACUACACAUAUUUAAAUAUGUAAUGUGACUCUGAAAUUCAUUUUAAAAUCAUGGAACAGACACAGGAAGCUGAUUUCAUUUGCACCGCCAAAGUUCCUGAUGUCCUACAAAAAAGUGGUUGGUCAUAUGUUUCAUGUGCUAUGUGCAGCCGCAAAUUAGACAAAUAUGGAACAACCUUACGAUGCCCAAAAUGCAUUUCUGAGACUGUCACUGGCGUUGUGAGGUAUUAAAAUAUUUCACUGGCGAAUUUCUUCUUGAUGCAAGGAGUUUAAAAGCUGUUGCUAUUGAACACCCAAAGGGUGCUAAGAAAGAAAUUGAUUCCAUUUAUUACAUAGACUAUGAAAACUA
Molecule: long non-coding RNA, 1311 nt
Organism: Arabidopsis lyrata subsp. lyrata
Lineage: Eukaryota; Viridiplantae; Streptophyta; Magnoliopsida; Brassicales; Brassicaceae
Exons: 5
Source: RefSeq, a predicted model, not a curated record